CAGUCGCCGCGGUAAUACGUAGGUGGCAAGCGUUGUCCGGAAUUAUUGGGCGUAAAGGGCUCGCAGGCGGUUUCUUAAGUCUGAUGUGAAAGCCCCCGGCUCAACCGGGGAGGGUCAUUGGAAACUGGGAAACUUGAGUGCAGAAGAGGAGAGUGGAAUUCCACGUGUAGCGGUGAAAUGCGUAGAGAUGUGGAGGAACACCAGUGGCGAAAGCGAGUGCCUGGACCCUUUCUGACGCUGAGACGCGAAAGCCAGGGGAGCGAACGGGAUUAGAUACCCGUGUAGUCCCUGUCUCUUAUAC
Molecule: ribosomal RNA, 301 nt
Filed under: uncultured bacterium
Lineage: Bacteria
Description: partial 16S ribosomal RNA
Rfam family: Bacterial small subunit ribosomal RNA
Source: RNAcentral